UUCAAAUGGUUAUUUAAUUGUAUAAAAGUUCAGAUAUUAUAAAUAUUAUAAACCCGUCCUACCAUCUAAUCUCGUUCAGUGAAAUUAAACAUUAUUUUUU
RNAcentral lists this small RNA (100 nucleotides) under Arabidopsis thaliana (thale cress). RNAcentral's name for it is "ATSL045440". Lineage: Eukaryota; Viridiplantae; Streptophyta; Magnoliopsida; Brassicales; Brassicaceae. The record is from RNAcentral.